AUGUCAGCACCUGAGAUUCUGCAGUUUGUUACAGCUAUAGAUUGCUAUCCAAAUGUGUCAGUUGCCUAUCGGAUCCUCUUGACUGUACCUGUGACUGUAGCCUCGGCUGAAAGAAGUUUCUCUAAAUUGAAACUACUGAAGAAUUGUUUGAGGUCGACCAUGUUACAAGACAGAUUGAAUGGAUUGGCCAUGUGCUGUAUUGAUAAGGAUAUCUUGGACAACAUUGAUCUUGAUAUUGUCAUCAAUGAUUUUGCUUCUAGAAAUGCCCGAAGAAGUUUUUUCGUGAAGAAUUGA
Molecule: ribosomal RNA, 294 nt
Filed under: Triticum aestivum (bread wheat)
Lineage: Eukaryota; Viridiplantae; Streptophyta; Magnoliopsida; Poales; Poaceae
Description: partial small subunit ribosomal RNA
Source: RNAcentral